This 33472-nucleotide long non-coding RNA is filed under the name Triticum aestivum (bread wheat). RNAcentral describes it as "long non-coding RNA (TAES_LNC009846)". Lineage: Eukaryota; Viridiplantae; Streptophyta; Magnoliopsida; Poales; Poaceae. The record is from RNAcentral.
CAAAAGCAACCUGAAAUGUUACUCUUGCUUGCCCAACUCAAGUCAACCAUAGCUAGCUAAAAUGGUGCUCCACUCAGCUAUAGCUGCCUAACGAGCUCAGCUCCACGUCUCGAUCUACCUCUCUAUAUUUAAUUUGCCUCCAAAAUCCAUCUAUAUAUAUCGCAUUCGAGCUAAACAACUCUUCAUCCAAACAAGCAAAGGCAAAUACUAAAGCUAGCUACGCCUACGAGUAGAAGAAACCAACAAUGGCGCCGCUCGCACCCGGGAGGCCAGCAGCCUGCCUCCUGGCCCUUCUCUCCGUCGUCACGGCGCUAUCCCUGGCGGCGCCGGGCUUGGCGGCGGGGAAGACCGGCCAGGUGACGGUGUUCUGGGGCCGGAACAAGGCCGAGGGGUCCCUGCGCGAGGCCUGCGACUCCGGCAUGUACACCAUGGUCACCAUGUCUUUCCUCGACGUCUUUGGCGCCAAAGGAAAGUACCACCUCGACCUCUCCGGCCACGACCUCUCCGCCGUCGGCGCCGACAUCAAGCACUGCCAGUCCAAGGGCGUCCCCGUCUCCCUCUCCGUUGGCGGCUACGGCACCGGCUACUCGCUCCCGUCCAACCGCUCCGCGCUCGACCUCUUCGACCACCUCUGGAACUCCUACUUGGGCGGGUCCAACCCUGGCGUGCCCCGCCCCUUUGGCGACGCGUGGCUCGACGGCAUCGACCUCUUCCUGGAGCACGGCACGCCGGCGGACCGCUACGACGUGCUGGCGCUGGAGCUGGCGAAGCACAACAUCCGCGGCGGCCCGGGGAAGCCGCUGCACCUGACGGCGACGGUCCGGUGCGGGUACCCGCCGGCGGCGCACGUGGGGCGGGCGCUGGCGACGGGGAUCUUGGAGCGCGUGCACGUGAGGAUCUACGAGGAGAGCGACAAGGCGUGCAACCAGUACGGGGCGUGGGAGGAGGCGUGGGACAGGUGGACGGCGGCGUACCCGGCCACCCGGUUCUUCAUCGGGCUCACCGCCGACGAGAAGUCGUACCAGUGGAUACACCCCAAGAACGUCUACUACGGCAUCACGCCGGUGGUGCAGAAGAAGGACAACUACGGCGGGGUCAUGCUCUGGGACCGAUACUUCGACAAGCAGAGCGACUACAGUAGCUACAUCAAGUACUACGCCUGAUCGGAGUUAUACUUUCACAAGCCACGCUGUUGCAUGCAUCACCGUCGAUUUGAUUUCGAUGUGUUGUUGCAAACUUGCAAGCGAGAAUAAAGUGAGGCUUGUACUACUUGGGUAAAUAAAUAAUUGACCAGCUGGUCGUACGUACAGUUAUGGUUUAGUUAUCAACUCAAUGUCUUGAAUGCUUGUGUUUUUGUUUGUACAAUUAGAGUCUUUCAACAAACAUGAUAGUCUCUUAGUAGCAAAUGAUACAAAUACAUUGGAUCCUGACCGAUUUCUCUAUUUGGUUUAAAAUUCUCAAGCUGAUCACCACUCGGAACUACUCCCUCCAUCUCAAAAUAGGUGUCUCAACUUUAUACCGAUUGAGACACCUAUUAUGGGACGGAGAGAGUAGAAAAUACAUAUUUUAGCUAAAACAUAUCUAGAUGUGUCAUAAGUAUUACAUAUUUAAAUUCUAUGCCAUUGAUUUUAGGGGAGGAUUCAUGCUGGUAUUUUUUUUCUUUUUAUGUUUCAUUGAGUCAUUCUGUGCAAUAACUAAGACACAUCUAGAUAUGUCCUAAAUAUACCCAAAAGACAUACACCAGCAAUGAAAUCCAUACAUAACAUCGGUUUCCCCAUGAUAGCAAUCCAAACGAUCAUAUGCUUUCGUCAUAUCAAUUUUCUACGCAUAACUCAUGUUCUUCUUUGCUUUAUUAAUCUUCAUGAAGUGUAAGCACUCAAAAGUUAUCAUAAAUAUAAUUAAUAUUAAUCUGCCCAAGACAAAAGAAGACUGCUCCACAAAGAUGAUCUCUAGUAAUAAGACUUUGAGCCUAUUAGCAAGCACCUUGGACACCCCCUUAUAAACCACAUUACACAAGUGAAUGGGUCUAAAUUGCCACAAAGAAGUUGGAUUAAUAACAUUGGGGGUGAGUACAAUGAUUUUUUUUCUUAAUUACCUCCAAACCAUCUUCUCUCCUUGGUAUUGUAUAAAGGCCAGCAUCAUUUUUUUUAUCCUUCAGUCAAAGAUUAGCGCGGUUUGACCCUAAUCCGAACUGUGGCGUGUCACGUGCAACACAAAACGCGGCCAUGAAUAGCGUCACCAAAGAGGGUGAAAUCCUGAAAAAGUGUUUAACUAAAAUCAAAUUAAGGGAGGGUCAAAACAGUAAUUUUCGCCACCGCAGGAGAAGCGGUGCGCUGGCGCGCCGUGUGUGCGUAGGUCAGCCAAGGCUGCGGCGCGCGGGUGGGCCGGUCCAAGCUGGUGGGCCAGUGCGGUCCAUGUGCGGACAGGCUGGCUCAGGCGUGUGAUGCGGGUCGCGGCAACAUGCACCUCCGACUGAAGCGGCACAUGCAGAUUUCUUGAUUUUUAUUUUAUUUAUUUUUGGAGAAGGUCCAAGAGGAAAGGAGCACACGCGCACGAGAACCUUCGAGGCUUCGGCAAGAAACAUAUGCAUGUGUGUGUCAUGCCCGACCUAUGCGUUGGUAAGCGCAGCUGGAUGGUGGGCCAUCUCUUGGAGGUUGGUCCCACAUGGAAGUCACAUGGAGGCAAGGCUACAUAUACAGCAGGGGAAGCACAGGAGGAGGUAGCGAAGGAAUGAAUGAAUGUUCUGAAUCUCAUCUCGUGUGCUUCUGGUCCUCAUCCCCUUCUAUGAUUCCUCACCCCCAAUUCUCCCAAAUUAUCCCAAAUCGAUCCAAAUACUGAGCUAAUUUGUGCAUCCUCGAUCCAUCCAACGAUUGGGUCGUGAUAAUUUGGUAAUUGGAGCAAGGUUGAUCCACCCAAAAUUUUCGCUGCCCCGUGAUUUGUUCGUCCGCUCGAUCGGUAACAUCCGUCGCGUCCGGUGCGGCUUCUUUCAAGAGGCCGCUCGAAAUCCACCGUGGGGUUCGAUCCUCGGCAACAGCCACGACAGCGCCGACCCAACCAUCUGCCCAGACAACCAUGUUCUCUCCGGCAUGGCCGCGAACACCGGCGAACUGAAGGUGUUGCUCGAGUCCCUCCUCAGCAAAUUGGAUGAGACUAAAGCCACCGACGACAAGCGCCUGGGAGCGCAGCGCGCCUUCAACGAGCAAAUCCACCAUGAUCUACAAAAGCAAAUCCAUCCUACCCGCAAAGCGCCUGACGACGUCCGCAAGGCGCGCGACACCACGACGGCCUCCGCGACGUCCCAGGCAGGCUCGCCCACGCCGGACCUGCCGUGUUCACCAGCAGCAGUGUUACCGCUCCACCCUCACCAAGGCUCCACCUCAUAUGCGCGGCUGGUGACGGACUUGCCCCCGUUCCUUCCGACUAGUCCUGCAGUCACCACUCCAGUUCCUGUCUACCACAUGUUCGACGAAAUGCCUGAGAGUGAGUUCGACCCGCGCAUGCGCUCACUGCUAGAGGUGACACAGAUGGGCACAGUGGCUGCGUAUACGGCGAUGUUUUGGGAGUGUCUACACCAUGUGCUACAUCUCAACCCCAGCCUGAGCACCAAGUGCUUCAUCCACCAUUACAUCAAGGGCUUGCACAAGAAUAUUCAAGCAGCCGUGAAGACACUAUUGGGGAUCGUAGCAGAAAUUUAAAAUUUUCUACGCAUCACCAAGAUCAAUCUAUGGAGUAAUCUAACAACGAGGGAAGGAGAGUGCAUCUACAUACCCUUGUAGAUCGCUAAGCGGAAGCGUUCAAGUGAAUGGGGUUGAUGGAGUCGUACUCGUCGUGAUCCAAAUGACCGAUGAUCCUAGCGCCGAACGGACGGCACCUCCGCGUUCAACACACGUACGGUAGGAGACGUCUCCUCCUUCUUGAUCCAGCAAGGUGAGAGGAGAAGAAGUUGAGGGAAAACUCUGACAGCACGACGGCGUGGUGGUGAUGGAGCUCGUGGUUCUCCGGGAGGGCUUCGCCAAGCACUACGGAGGAGGAUGAGGUGUUGGAGGAGGAAGAGGGCUGCGCUAGGGGAAGGGUGCGGCUGCCCUCUCUCUCCCUCACUAUAUAUAGGGGAAAGGGAGGAGGGGGCGCCCUAGGGUUCCCUAGGGGAGGGGCGGCGGCCACAGGGGAAACCCUAGAUGGGUUUGGGCGCCCGCACCCCCUAGGAAACUUGCCUCCCAAGCCGGGAGGGGCGGCUGCCCUAGGGGUGGCGCCCCCACCUCUCCUGGUUACGUGAGAUGGGGUGGGAGGGGCGCUCAGCCCCUUAGUGGGCUGAUGUGCCCUCUCCCCUUGGCCCAUAAGGCCGCCCAACGCUUGUCGGGGCCUCCGAAACCCAUUUCGUACACACUGGUCAUCACCUGAUACCCCGGAACAAUUCCGGACUCCAAUACCCUUCGUCCAAUAUACCGAUCUUCACCUCCGGACCAUUCCAGAGCUCCUUGUCAUGUCCGGGAUCUCAUCCAGGACUCCGAACAACCUUCGGUAACCACAUACUAUUUCCCAUAACAACUCUAGCGUCCCCGAACCUUAAGUGUGUAGACCCUACGGGUUUGGGAACCAUGCAGACAUGACUGAAACAACUCUCCGGCCAAUAACCAACAUCGGGAUCUGGAUAUCCAUGUUGGAUCCCACAUGUUCCACGAUGAUCUCAUCGGAUGAACCACGAUGUCGAGGAUUCAAUCAAUCCUGUAUACAAUUCCCUUUGUCCAGCGGUAUUGUACUUGCCCGACAUUCAAUCGUCGGUAUCCGAUACCUUGUUCAAUCUCGUUACCGGCAAGUCUCUUUACUCGUUCCGUAACACAUCAUCCCGUGAUCAACUCCUUGUUCACAUUGUGCACAUUAUGAUGAUGUCCUACCGAGUGGGCCCAGAGAUACCUCUCCGUUUACACGGAGUGACAAAUCCCAGUCUCGAUUCGUGCCAACCCAACAGACACUUUCGGAGAUACAUGUAGUGUACCUUUAUAGCCACUCAGUUACGUUGUGACGUUUGGCACACCCAAAGCACUCCUACGGUAUCCGGGAGUUGCACAAUCUCAUGGUCUAAGGAAAUGAUACUUGACAUUAGAAAAGCUUUAGCAAACGAACUACACGAUCUUGUGCUAGGCUUAGGAUUGGAUCUUGUCCAUCACAUCAUUCUCCUAAUGAUGUGAUCCCGUUAUCAACGACAUCCAAUGUCCAUGGUUAGGAAACCGUAACCAUCUAUUGAUCAACGAGCUAGUCAACUAGAGGCUUACUAGGGACAUGGUGUUGUCUAUGUAUCCACACAUGUAUCUGAGUUUCCUAUCAAUACAAUUCUAGCAUGGAUAAUAAACGAUUAUCAUGAACAAGGAAAUAUAAUAAUAACCAAUUUAUUAUUGCCUCUAGGGCAUAUUUCCAACAGUCUCCCACUUGCACUAGAGUCAAUAAUCUAGUUCACAUCGACAUGUGACCAACAUCCAAAGAGUUUACAAGAGUCACUAAUCUAGUUCACAUCACUAUGUGAUUAAUACUCAAUGAGUUCUGGGUUUGAUCAUGUUAUGCUUGUGAGAGAGGUUGUAGUCAACGGGUUGUAGCGACCAGACCUCAAACAGUCUGAUCUCUGUGCUCCGGUGUCAUCCCUGGAUCAGUAAUGCUGACACCACACAGUACUCGGAGGAUUUAUAGUAGAGUAGCAAUCACACACUUAUUACAUCGAGUGUCUCAAAAGAGAACUUAUUACAAUAAGUAUGGCUUAAGGCCAUCUAAUAACGAUAACAGCGGAAGGCUUGGAAGAUAAGUGAGUCCAUCAACUCCAACGGCAUCACUGAGUAUAGGACCACGACCUAAAAACUCCUUAAUCGAUGUUUGAUAAGUCUGCAACAUUAACGUUGCAGCCCGAAAAUGGGUCAGCACAUGGAAUAUGCUGGCAAGGUAACACAUAGAGAGUAAUGGAAUGGAACAGCUAUACUAUAUGCAUAUUUGGCUGGUGGAAAGCUCUAUGGUUACAGUUUUGCGUAAAGCCGAUUUUUCCCUACUUCAAAGGAAUAAGAUUUCAUUACUAUCAUGGUGGUUGUUAAACAUUGAGAAUGGUUGACAGCAUUCUCAAUCCCAAUUAAGCAUCAUCAUUAACAAAACCCAACAAAAUUAAUUUAGAGUAACAUGUUGAGAUUCACAUGAAAAUCCAAGUACUAGAUACUCAAGAUGUCCAUAAUCAGGGACACGGCUAACCAUGAUUAGUUUAUUACACUCUGCAGAGGUUUGCGCACUUUUCCCCACAAGACUCGAUCGCCUCCGUUUGUUUUCUCGCACUAUAGGGUGUUUGAGAAGACGGAUGACCGAGACAUAGUCUUUCAGAAGCGCUAGCACCUUACUAUGGGUAGACCGUACGACCUACAUCCCCUACAUCUGCUAGUCUACCAUUGUAAGAGUUCGCACAACUUAGUUAACUAUGCUAGAGCCCAUAAUAGCUUGUGCCUGCACACGGAAGUUUCUAGUAUGAAUAGUCUCAUGAUCCCUUUGAGCCUGGGUGGCGGUCCAAAAGAAAACAGGCAAGUCCUGGAAUACCCAGGUGCCUCAAUCCACCCAGAUGUGUGUUUAAUUUGCCACCUUAGAUAAACCAUUAAUUAACAAUCUCACAUCUGUCAUGGAUUUCACUCACCCAAUCCACGUCUACUAGCAUAGCAUGGCAUAAUAAGCAAACGUAGAAGUAACUCCCAAAGGUUUGAUAUAAACAGGUAAUAGGUACUACCUCAUCUACUUCCCAUCCCACAAUUUAAUUACAUCCUAAUCAUGCAAUGUGUGAGGAUUGGUCUAAUGCAAUUAAACUGGGUAGUAGGAAAGGUAUGAUCAAAGUGUUACUUGCCUUGCUGAUGAUCCGCGAAACCUAACGAUUCGAAGUAACAGGCGGCGCACUCCGGGUAUUCUAUCGCAGACAACCAAACAAGCAUACAAUAAGUACUCAUCUAAUGCACAGGUAAAACUCAAAUAAGAGAUCUAACCAGAAGGUUCAACUUAAGAACUCCGGUUGGCAAAAAGAAUCAAAUCGAACGAAGCAACGAAAAACAAACUGCGAAAGAAAACAACUUCGUUCUAGUAAUCUGGAUCUAGGGCAAAUUUUAUAGUAGCAAAAUCUUGUUUAAGUUGGUUAAACGGAUAAAGGGUUUCGAGACGAAACUCUAGGCGCUUGAAUCGCCUGAUUCCGAUAACUCCUUAAUCUGCUUCUUAAUUUCCACCAAAUCUUUUGCUGGCAUCCUAUAUGGUCUCUUUGAUAUUGGACCUGUGCUUGGCAAUAGCUCAAUCAAAAACUCAAUAUCUCUAUCCGGUGGCAUGCCUGGCAACUCCUCUGGAAAUACAUCAGGGAAAUCCCUUACCACUCGUACUUCCUCCUGCACAACUCCUGUUAGGCAAUUUACUUGAGUCCUCUUUGGCACAUGCCGGGAUACAUACUUGAUCCUUCUCCCUUCUGGGGUGGUAAGAAAAAUUGGCUUACUAGCACACUCAAUAUUCCCUUCAAACUUUGAUAACCAAUCCAUACCUAAUAUCACAUCCAAUCCUUGAGAUUCCAAUACUAUUAGGUCCGAGGGAAAAACAUAGUUACCAAUCCUUAAUGGUAACCGAUCACACCAUAGACUAGUCACAUACUCUGCUCCGGGAGAGGUUACUAACAUGGGUGACCUAAGGGCUUGGGUUGGUAGGUUAUACUUAUCCACAAAUCCCCUUGAUAUGUAUGAAUGCGAUGCGCCAGUAUCAAAAAGAACGAGUGCAGUAACUGACUUAACCAAAAACUUACCUAUUACUGCAUCGGGCUGAGCUUCAACCUCCUCCACGCUAACGUGAUUCACUUGUCCCCUGUUGAAAGGGUUUGGCUUCUUCCCAGAACUUCCAUUGCUAUUUCCAUUUUGUAAUUCAGGACAUUCAUUGGCAUAAUGUCCUAUCUUCGAACACUUAAAGCAAGUGACUUGGCUUAGGUCCUUCUUGGCUGGGGUUGAGGGGUUGGUGCGGUUCUGGCCGUUGCUUCCUCCAUUGCCAUUUCCAUUCUUGGUGCCAUUGUGAUUGUGCGUACUACCUCCUCCAUGGGUAUGCUGAAAAUGUCCUCCCUGUCUAGGGGUAAAACGUGGCUUCUGCUGAGCUCCUGAAUUGUACUUUCCUUGUCCAUACUUCCUCUUGCGGUUCUCAAUUUGCUGCUGCUUCCCUUCAAUCAUAAGAGCACGAUCUACCAACUCCUGGUAGUUGUUGAAGGUUGCUACCAUCAACUGCAUGCUCAACUCAUCAUUCAGUCCUUCCAGAAACUUCUCCUGCUUAGCUGCAUCCGUAGCGACGUCGUCUAGGGCAUAACGUGCUAACUUACUAAAUUCCUCCACAUACUGGCCAACUGUCCUUCCUCCUUGGCGCAAGUUGCGAAACUCACGCUUCUUCAUGGCCAUAGCUCCUACUGAAACGUGUGCAGUACGAAAAGCCUGCUGAAACUGGUCCCAUGUGACAGUGUCUACUGGGAAAGUGGCUGUGAAAUUCUCCCACCAUGAUGCUGUGGGUCCUUCUAACUGAUGUGCGGCAAACUUCACCUUCUCCGCAUCUGUGCAUCCUACUGUGGUCAACUCCCUAGCUGUCUUGCGGCGCCAAUCAUCUGCUACCAUCGGCUCGGUGCUACUGGAAAACACCGGCGGAUUCAGCCUAAGAAAACGGGCUAAGUGGUCAACAGGUGGUGGUGCUGGUGGUGGGUUGUUGUUGUUGUUCCCCUGAUUCUGAUUCUGGACUAGCAAUUGCAUCAAUGUGUUCUGCUGCUGGAUCAACUGGGUGAGCUCCGGUGGGAAGGCAAAUCUAGGGUCACGUCUCAGAGGCAUCUGAGGGUUUAGAAAAGAUGAGAUAUAAGAAUAGAGGGGGUCUAAAGAGAAAACACUACCCAUAUGCACAUGAGGCAAAGCAAACAAUUCACUUCGAUCAAUCAAACAAGGGCAUACAAUCGAUCUAUCUAUCGCAAAAGUGCUCGGACUACUAUAUUUACAUGGUGGACUACUACUACUGAUGAGGUGGUCUACUAGAAAUAUUCUACGGUCGUUGACUCCAUGAUAUGUGCUCCAGCUUCAUCAACAUAGUCAUCAUCGCUACUAUCUGCUUCCGAGUCGGUGCCGUCGAUGAUGAUGUAGUCUUCUGAGCUAAUCUCCUUGGGUUCUUCGUCUUUAUCUACUGGCGUAGGGUCUCCCAUAAAUAUUCCAAUCUUCUUGAUCAGGUCGUCAUUCUUCUCCACCAGUACUUCAAUUUCCUCUUCAUAAUCUUCACGUGUAGCCUUGAGUUCUUCCUCCAGUUCCUUGAUUCUAGUCUUAGCCUUCUUUAGAUCUAUCAUGUCGGCGCACAUCUGGUUCUCCUAUCGUCGAAUGUGCUGGUUUAGCUCCUGGAUAAAAGCUGCAAUUGAUCUAUCCUUCUUGGUGCUGGUCAUCUCCCAGUGUUCAUCUCGGCGCCCACAAAUCUGGUAGAUAGUAUCCUUGAGGUCCUUGCGGUAGACUUCUCCAAUGCGUCCCAUGGCGAUGUGAGCUGCCAUGCUCUUUCCUAGACUCCAAGUUGGUGCAUCAAAAGAAAAUUCUAUGGGCUCAGUGACUGGCAUGAACGUCCUUCCUGGAACUUGAACUUGAAUCAUCCAGCGCUCUUCUUCAGGUAAAGUGGCGUUGUAGGUUCCUAUGAAGCUUGGUACUCCUAUGUUCAGGUAUCUAGUGACUUCCUUCAAGUGACGUCCAAAGGGUGUAUCUUCAUCCGGUUGCGUGAACUUGUUCCUUGCAUCCGCCAUCCUAAAGAGUAGAAAGGAUGAGAGGUCAGAAGAGAAGAGAGUGAAAAGUGAUCUAGGUCUUUAGCUUAGUGGUCGUGUCCUACAGUCAGCGUGUGCUCUGAUACCAUCUCUAUAGCGACCAGACCUCAAACAGUCUGAUCUCUGUGCUUCGGUGUCAUCCCUGGAUCAGUAAUGCUGACACCACACAGUACUCGGAGGAUUUAUAGCAGAGUAGCAAUCACACACUUCUUACAUCGAGUGUUUCAAAAGAGAACUUAUUACAAUAAGUAUGGCUUAAGGCCAUCUAAUAAUGAUAACAGCGGAAGGCUUGGAAGGUAAGUGAGUCCAUCAACUCCAACAGCAUCACUAAGUAUAGGACCACGACCUAAAAACUCCUUAAUCGUCGUUUGAAAAGUCUGCAACAUUAACGUUGCAGCCCGAAAACGGGUCAGCACAUGGAAUAUGAUGGCAAGGUAACACAUAGAGAGUAAUGGAAUGGAACAGCUAUACUGUAUGCAUAUUUGGCUGGUGGAAAGCUCUAUGGUUACAGUUUUACGUAAAGCCAAUUUUUCCCUACUUCAUAGGAAUAAAAUUUAAUUACUAUCAUGGUGGUUGUUAAACAUUGAGAAUGGUUGACAGCAUUCUCAAUCCCAAUUAAGCAUCAUCAUUAACAAAAGUCAACAAAAUUAAUUUAGAGUAACAUGUUGAGAUUCACAUGAAAAUCCAAGUACUAGAUACUCAAGAUGUCCAUAACCGAGGACACGGCUAACCAUGAUUAGUUUAUUACACUCUGCAGAGGUUUGCGCACUUUUCCCCACAAGACUCGAUCGCCUCCGUUUGUUUUCUCGCACUACAGGGUGUUUGAGAAGACGGAUGACCGAGAGAUAGUCUUUUAGAAGCGGUAGCACCUUACGAUGGGUAGACCGUACCACCUACAUCCCCUACAUCUGCUAGUCUACCACUGUAAGAGUUCGCACAACUUAGUCAACUAUGCUAGAGCCCAUAAUAGCUUGUGGCUGCACAUGGAAGUUUCUAGUAUGAAUAGUCUCAUGAUCCCUUUGAGCCUGGGUGGCUGUCCAAAAGAAAACAGGCAAGUCCUGGAAUACCCAGGUGCCUCAAUCCACCCAUAUGUGUGUUUAAGUUGCCACCUUAGAUAAACCAUUAAUUAACAAUCUCACAUCUGUCAUGGAUUUCACUCACCCAAUCCACGUCUACUAGCAUAGCAUGGCAUAAUAAGCAAACGUAGAAGUUACUCCCAAAGGUUUGAUAUAAACAAGUAAUAGGUACUACCUCAUCUACUUCCCAUCCCACAAUUUAAUUACAUCCUAAUCAUACAAUGUGUGAGGAUUGAUCUAAUGCAAUAAAACUGGGUAGUAGGAAAGGUAUGAUCAAAGUGUUACUUGGCUUGUUGAUGAUCCGCGAAACCUAACGAUUCGAAGUAACAGGCGGCGCACUCCGGGUAUUCUAUCACAGACAAACAAACAAGCAUACAAUAAGUACUCAUCUAAUGCACAGGUAAAACUCAAAUAAGAGAUCUAACCAGAAGGUUCAACUUAAGAACUCCGGUUGGCAAAAAGAAUCAAAUCGAACGAAGCAACGAAAAACAAACUGCGAAAGAAAACAACUUCGUUCUAGUAAUCUGGAUCUAGGGCAAAUUUUAUAGUAGCAAAAUCUUGUUUAAGUUGGUUAAACGGAUAAAGGGUUUCGAGACGAAAAUCUAGGCGCUUGAAUCACCUGAUUCCGAUAAACGAGCGAAAAGUUAAACUAAAAUGAAAAUCGGAUCAGAAAUCGCGAUCAGAAAAAUUGCGGAUUUAAUCCGAGAAAAAGAAAAGCUACGAACGCCGAAAAAAAAUUCUCUUUUUUUUCUGCACGGAAAACGAGGCGCGACGAACCUCGGGCGGCGGGAUCGUCGGUGGCGGCUCCGGCGCCGCGCACGGAUCGAGGCGGGGUUGAUCGGCUGGGGCGGCUCGGGGCGGCGCUAUUUAAAGGCUGCCCCCGGGCGGUGUCCCGCUCGGGUACGGCCCGAAGUCGGUUCGUUUUUUUAAUUAUUCCGCUCGGAAGAAAAAUAAAAAGAAAUACUAAACGGACUCCAAAAAUUCCGAAAUAAAUUUUCGCAGGCUUCUAAAAUCAAGCCGCACAAGGUGAACAUUUAUUUGGGCCCUAAAUGCAAUUUUGAAAAAUGCACUUUUUUCCUAAAUUCAAAUAAAACACCGAAAAACUCCGAAAUAAAAUCUUAUUCGAUUUUAUUAUUAAAUCCUCAAUAUUUCUUUAUUUUGGGAAAGUCAUUUUAUUCCCUCUCUCAUAUUUUUGUAAUAGAAAUAAUUGAUGAUAAAAUAAAUAAAAUCAAAUGAUCCUAUUCUCAAAAUUUGAGAGAACUCAAAUAUGAAAAUAACGAAAUUCCCAACUCUCUCCGUGGGUCAUUGAGUUGCGUAGAAUUUCUAGGAUCAACCAAAAUGCAAAAUAAAAAAAUAUGAUAUGCAUGAUGAUCUAGUGUAUAACAUUUCAAAUUGAAAAUUUGGGAUGUUACAAACCUACCCCCCUUAAGAUGAAUCUCGCCCUCGAGAUUCGGGUUGGCUAGAAAAUAGGUGAGGGUGGUCCUUGAGCAAAUCUUCCUCUCGCUCCCAGGUGGCUUCAUGCUUCGUGUGGUGGCUCCACUGAACUUUGCAAAACUUGAUAACCUUGCUGCAAGUAACUCGGCUGGCAAACUCGAGAAUCUUAACUGGUUUCUCCUCGUAGGUCAAAUCGUUAUCCAACUGAAUAGUUUCCAAUGGCACUAUGUCUCUCAACGGUAUGUUAGCCAUCUCCGCGUGACAUUUCUUUAACUGAGAAACGUGGAACACAUCAUGUACUCCUGACAAUCCUUCGGGCAAUUCCAACUUGUAGGCCACUUCUCCCAUACGCUCCAAAACUCGAUAUGGUCCUACAAAUCGUGGCACUAACUUCCCUUUAACUCCAAAAUGCUUUGUUCCCUGAAGUGGAGAUACUCGAAGAUAAGCUCUGUCUCCGACUUCGUAAACUGUCUCCUUGCAUUUAGAAUCUGCAUAACUUUUCUGCCUGGACUAGGCUACCUUGAGCCUAUCGCGAAUCAACUUCACCUUCUGUUCAGACUCUUUAAUCAAGUCAGAACCAAACAACUGGCGGUCUCCAACUUCAUCCCACGACAACGGUGUCCUGCACCUCCUUUCGUGCAAGGCUUCGAAAGGGGCCAUCUUUAAACUAGUUUGGUAACUAUUGUUGUAAGAGAACUCUGCAUAUGGCAAAUUAUCGUCCCAACUAGAUCCAUAAUCUAGCGCACAAGCUCUCAGCAUAUCCUCCAAAAUCUGAUUGACUCUCUCGGUCUGUCCAUCUGUCUGUGGAUGAAAAGUUGUACUGAAUUCUAGCCUGGUACCCAAAGUUUCGUGCAACUGCUUCCAGAACUUUGAGGUAAAGUGGGUUCCUCUAUCUGAUAUGAUACUCCUUGGAACUCCAUGCGGACAUACGAUUCUGGUCAUGUAUAUCUUUGCCAACUUAGCACUGGUGUAAGUGGUCUUUACUGGGAUGAAAUGAGCUACUUUCGUCAAUCGAUCAACUACAACCCAAAUCGAGGCAUAGCCUGAACGAGUCCUGGGCAAUCCCGUGAUAAAAUCCAUGCCUAGCUUAUCCCACUUCCAUUCGGGUAUCGGCAAUGGUUGUAACAAUCCUGCUGGCUUCUGAUGCUCUGCCUUUACUCUCUGGCAUACAUCACAAACUGCUACAUACUCUGCAAUAUCCUUCUUCAUUCCGGUCCACCAGAAAAUAUCCUUCAAAUCCAAAUACAUCUUGGUAUUUCCUGGGUGAAUUGAAUAUGGUGAGUCGUGUGCCUCUUGCAAAAUCAACUUCCUGAUCUCCGGGUCAUUGGGCACAUAAACGUGGUCUUCAAACCAUAGGGUGUCGUGCUCAUCCUCACAGAAUCCUUUAGCUUUUCCUUUGCUCAGCUUCUCCUUUAUAGCGGCAGUCUCUUUGUCAGCUUUCUGAGCUUCCUUGAUUUUAUACAUCAAGGUUGACUAAAUCUCCAAUGCUGCUACAUAGCCUCUCGGAAUUAUUUCCAAACAUAGUUCACGAAGAUUAUCUGCUAACUCCUUGGGUAUUUCUCCCGUCAUUAACGUAUUGACAUGGAUCUUAUGGCUUAAUGCGUUAGCUACUACAUUAGCCUUUCCGGGGUGAUAAUGCAAUUUCAUAUCAUAAUCCUUGAUAAGCUCCAACCAUCUCCUUUGUCUGAGGUUUAACUCCUUCUGUGUGAAAAUGUACUUCAAACUCUUAUGAUCCGUGUACACCUCACAAUGAUUUCCAAUGAGGAAAUGUCUCCAUGCCUUCAAUGCAUGCACUACGGCUGCUAACUCCAAAUCAUGCGUGGCAUAAUUCAACUCAUGAGGCUUCAGUUGUCUUGAAGCAUAUGAAACAAAUCUCCCUUCCUGCAUAAGCACUGCUCCAAGUCCUCGACGUGAAGCGUCGCAAUACACCUCAUAAUCCUUGGUCUGGUCUGGCAAAAUCAACACUGGUGAGGUAACCAAACGUUUCUUCAACUCCUGGAAACUAGCCUCACAUUCCUCUGUCCAUAUGAACUUGGUAUCUUUCUUCAACAACUCCGUCAUAGGCUUCGCAAUCUUUGAGAAAUACUCAAUAAAUCUUCGGUAGUAUCCUGCGAGUCCAAGAAAACUCCGGAUCUCUCCAACUGUUUUUGGGGCUUCCCACUUGGUCACGGUUUCAACUUUAGCGGGAUCUGCUGCUAUUCCUUCUCCAGAUAUAACGUGUCCGAGGAAUCCUACUUCCUUCAACCAAAACUCACAUUUGCUGAACUUGGCAUAUAAUUGAUGUUCUCUGAGCUUUCCAAGUACCAAACGCAAAUGCUCCUUAUGUUCCUCUUCAUUCUUUGAAUAAACCAGGAUAUCAUCAAUGAACACUAUGACGAACUUAUCCAAAAACUCCAUAAACACUUUGUUCAUCAUGUUCAUAAAAUAGGCAGGUGCGUUAGUCAGACCAAAUGACAUAACGGUAUACUCAUACAGCCUAUACCUGGUGGUAAAAGCUGUCUGAGGAAUAUCCUGUUCUCGAAUCUUCAAUUGGUGGUAUCCUGAUCGCAGAUCGAUCUUGGAAAAUACCUUAGCUCCUUGCAAUCGAUCAAACAGAUCAUUGAUCAUUGGUAGUGGGUACUUGUUCUUGAUCGUUACUUCAUUCAAUCCUCGAUUAUCAACAACCAUCCUUAACGAUCCAUCCUUUUUCUCCACUAGAAGUACUGGCGAUCCCCAAGGUGAAAAACUUGGGUGAAUAUAUCCCUUAUCCAGUAACUCCUUAAUCUGCUUCUUAAUUUCCACCAAAUCUUUUGCUGGCAUCCUAUAUGGUCUCUUUGAUAUUGGACCUGUGCCUGGCAAUAGCUCAAUCAAAAACUCAAUAUCUCUAUCCGGUGGCAUGCCUGGCAACUCCUCUGGAAAUACAUCAGGGAAAUCCCUUACCACUGGUACUUCCUCCUGCACAACUCCUGUUAGGCAAUUUACUUGAGUCCUCUUUGGCACAUGCUGGGAUACAUACUUGAUCCUUCUCCCUUCUGGGGUGGUAAGCAAAAUUGACUUACUAGCACACUCAAUAUUCCCUUCAUACUUUGAUAACCAAUCCAUGCCUAAUAUCACAUCCAAUCCUUGAGAUUCCAAUACUAUUAGGUCUGAGGGAAAAACAUAGUUACCAAUCCUUAAUGGUAACCGAUCACACCAUAGACUAGCCACAUACUCUGCUCCGGGAGAGGUUACUAACAUGGGUGACCUAAGGGCUUGGGUUGGUAGGUUAUACUUAUCCACAAAUCCCCUUGAGAUGUAUGAAUGCGAUGCGCCAGUAUCAAAAAGAACGAGUGCAGUAACUGACUUAACCAAAAACUUACCUAUUACUGCAUCAGGCUGAGCUUCAACCUCCUCCACGCUAACGUGGUUCACUUGUCCCCUGUUGAAAGGGUUUGGCUUCUUCCCAGAACUUCCAUUGCUAUUUCCAUUUUAUAAUUCAGGACAUUCAUUGGCAUAAUGUCCUAUCUUCGAACACUUAAAGCAAGUGACUUGGCUUAGGUCCUUCUUGGCUGGGGUUGAGGGGUUGGUGCGGUUCUGGCCGUUGCUUCCUCCAUUGCCAUUUCCAUUCUUGGUGCCAUUGUGAUUGUGCGUACUACCUCCUCCAUGGGUAUGCUGAAAAUGUCCUCCCUGUCUAGGGGUAAAACGUGGCUUCUGCUGAGCUCCUGAAUUGUACUUUCCUUGUCCAUACUUCCUCUUGCGGUUCUCAAUUUGCUGCUGCUUCCCUUCAAUCAUAAGAGCACGAUCUACCAACUCCUGGUAGUUGUUGAAGGUUGCUACCAUCAACUGCAUGCUCAACUCAUCAUUCAGUCCUUCCAGAAACUUCUCCUGCUUAGCUGCAUCCGUAGCGACAUCAUCUAGGGCAUAACGUGCUAACUUACUAAAUUCCUCCACAUACUGGCCAACUGUCCUUCCUCCUUGGCGCAAGUUGCGAAACUCACGCUUCUUCAUGGCCAUAGCUCCUGCUGAAACAUGUGUAGUAUGAAAAGCCUGCUGAAACUGGUCCCAUGUGACAGUGUCUACUGGGAAAGUGGCUGUGAAAUUCUCCCACCAUGAUGCUGCGGGUCCUUCUAACUGAUGUGCGGCAAACUUCACCUUCUCCGCAUCUGUGCAUCCUACUGUGGUCAACUCCCUAGCUGUCUUGCGGAGCCAAUCAUCUGCUACCAUCGGCUCGGUGCUACUGGAAAACACCGGCGGAUUUAGCCUAAGAAAACGGGCUAAGUGGUCAAUAGGUGGUGGUGGUGGUGGUGGGUUGUUGUUGUUGUUCCCCUGAUUCUGAUUCUGGACUAGCAAUUGCAUCAAUGUGUUCUGCUGCUGGAUCAACUGGGUGAGCUCCGGUGGGAAGGCAAAUCCAGGGUCACGUCUCAGAGGCAUCUGAGGGUUUAGAAAAGAUGAGAUAUAAGAAUAGAGGGGGUCUAAAGAGAAAACACUACCCAUAUGCACAUGAGGCAAAGCAAACAAUUCACUUCAAUCAAUCAAACAAGGGCAUACAAUCGAUCUAUCUAUCGCAAAAGUGCUCGGACUACUAUAUUUACAUGGUGGACUACUACUACUGAUGAGGUGAUCUACUAGAAAUAUUCUACGGUCGUUGACUCCAUGAUAUGUGCUCCAGCUUCAUCAACAUAGUCAUCAUCGCUACUAUCUGCUUCCGAGUCGGUGCCGUCGAUGAUGAUGUAGUCUUCUGGGCUAAUCUCCUUGGGUUCUUCACCUUUAUCUACUGGCGUAGGGUCUCCCAUAAAUAUUCCAAUCUUCUUGAUCAGGUCGUCAUUCUUCUCCACCAGUACUUCAAUUUCCUCUUCAUAAUCUUCAGGUGUAGCCUUGAGUUCUUCCUCCAGUUCCUUGAUUCUAGUCUUAGCCUUCUUCAGAUCUAUCAUGUCGGCGCACAUCUGGUUCUCCUGUCGUCGAAUGUGCUGGUUUAGCUCCUGGAUAAAAGCUGCAAUUGAUCUAUCCUUUCUGGUGCUGAUCAUCUCCCGGUGUUCAUCUCGACGCCCACAAAUCUGGUAGAUAGUAUCCUUGAGGUCCUUGCGGUAGACUUCUCCAAUGCGUCCCAUGGCGACGUGAGCUGCCAUGCUCUUUCCUAGACUCCAAGUUGGUGCAUCAAAAGAAAAUUCUAUGGGCUCAGUGACUGGCAUGAACAUCCUUCCUGGAACUUGAACUUGAAUCAUCCAGCACUCUUCUUCAGGUAAAGUGGCGUUGUAGGUUCCUGUGAAGCUUGGUACUCCUAUGUUCAGGUAUCUAGUGACUUCCUUCAAGUGACGUCCAAAGGGUGUAUCUUCAUCCGGUUGCGUGAACUUGUUCCUUGCAUUCGCCAUCCUAAAGAGUAGAAAGGAUGAGAGGUCAUAAGAGAAGAGAGUGAAAAGUGAUCUAGGUCUUUAGCUUAGUGGUCGUGUCCUACAGUCAGCGUGUGCUCUAAUACCAUCUCUGUAGCGACCAGACCUCAAACAGUCUGAUCUCUGUGCUCUAGUGUCAUCCCUGGAUCAGUAAUGCUGACACCACACAGUACUCGGAGGAUUUAUAGCAGAGUAGCAAUCACACACUUAUUACAUCGAGUGUCUCAAAAGAGAACUUAUUACAAUAAGUAUGGCUUAAGGCCAUCUAAUAACGAUAACAGCGGAAGGCUUGGAAGAUAACUGAGUCCAUCAACUCCAACGGCAUCACUGAGUAUAUGACCACGACCUAAAAACUCCUUAAUCAUCGUCUGAAAAGUCUGCAACACUAACGUUGCAGCCCGAAAACGGGUCAGCACAUGGAAUAUGCUGGCAAGGUAACACAAAGAGAGUAAUGGAAUGGAACAGCUAUACUAUAUGCAUAUUUGGCUGGUGGAAAGCUCUAUGGUUACAGUUUUACGUAAAGCCAAUUUUUCCCUACUUCAAAGGAAUAAAAUUUAAUUACUAUCAUGGUGGUUGUUAAACAUUGAGAAUGGUUGACAACAUUCUCAAUCCCAAUUAAGCAUCAUCAUUAACAAAACUCAACAAAAUUAAUUUAGAGUAACAUGUUGAGAUUCACAUGAAAAUCCAAGUACUAGAUACUCAAGAUGUCCAUAACCGGGGACACGGCUAACCAUGAUUAGUUUAUUACACUCUGCAGAGGUUUGCGCACUUUUCCCCACAAGACUCGAUCGCCUCCGUUUGUUUUCUCGCACUACAGGGUGUUUGAGAAGACGGAUGACCGAGACAUAGUCUUUCAGAAGCGCUAGCACCUUACGAUGGGUAGACCGUACCACCUACAUCCCCUACAUCUGCUAGUCUACCACUAUAAGAGUUCGCACAACUUAGUCAACUAUGCUAGAGCCCAUAAUAGCCUGUGGCUGCACAUGGAAGUUUCUAGUAUGAAUAGUCUCAUGAUCCCUUUGAGCCUGGGUGGCGGUCCAAAAGAAAACAGGCAAGUCCUGGAAUACCCAGGUGCCUCAAUCCGCCCAGAUGUGUGUUUAAUUUGCCACCUUAGAUAAACCAUUAACAAUGUCACAUCUGUCAUGGAUUUCACUCACCCAAUCCACGUCUACUAGCAUAGCAUGGCAUAAUAAGCAAACGUAGAAGUAACUCCCAAAGGUUUGAUAUAAACAGGUAAUAGGUACUACCUCAUCUACUUCCCAUCCCACAAUUUAAUUACAUCCUAAUCAUGCAAUGUGUGAGGAUUGAUCUAAUGCAAUAAAACUAGGUAGUAGGAAAGGUAUGAUCAAAUUGUUACUUGCCUUGCUGAUGAUCCGCGAAACCUAACGAUUCGAAGUAACAGGCGGCGCACUCCGGGUAUUCUAUCGCAGACAAACAAACAAGCAUACAAUAAGUACUCAUCUAAUGCACAGGUAAAACUCAAAUAAGAGAUCUAACGAGAAGGUUCAACUUAAGAACUCCGGUUGGCAAAAAGAAUCAAAUCGAACGAAGCAACGAAAAACAAACUGCGAAAGAAAACAACUUUGUUCUAGUAAUCUGGAUCUAGGGCAAAUUUUAUAGUAGCAAAAUCUUGUUUAAGUUGGUUAAAAGGAUAAAGUGUUUCGAGACGAAACUCUAGGCGCUUGAAUCGCCUGAUUCCGAUAAACGCGCGAAAAGUUAAACUAAAACGAAAAUCGGAUCAGGAAUCGCGAUCAGAAAAAUCGCGGAUGUAAUCCGAGAAAAAGAAAAACUAUGAACGCCGAAAAUUUUUUUCUCUCUUUUUUUUAAUUACUACGCUCGGAAGAAAAAUAAAAAUAAAUACUAAACGGACUCCAAAAAUUCCGAAAUAAACUUUCACGGGCUUCUAAAAUCAAGCUGCACAAGGUGGACAUUUAUUUGGGCCCUAAAUGCAAUUUUGAAAACCACACUUUUUUCCUAAAUUCAAAUAAAACACCGAAAAACUCCGAAAUAAAAUCUUAUUCGAUUUUAUUAUUAAAUCCUCAAUAUUUCUUUAUUUUGGGAAAGUCAUUUUAUUCCCUCUCUCAUAUUUUUUGUAAUAGAAAUAAUUGAUGAUAAAAUAAAUAAAAUCAAAUGAUCCUAUUCUCAAAAUUUGAGAGAACUCAAAUAUGAAAAUAACGAAAUCCCCAACUCUCUCCGUGGGUCAUUGAGUUGCGUAGAAUUUCUAGGAUCAACCUAAAUGCAAAAUAAAAAAAUAUGAUAUGCAUGAUGAUCUAGUGUAUAACAUUCCAAAUUGAAAAUUUGGGAUGUUACACGGGUCUUGCCAUAUUCAGAUCCCUAUGUAUUUCGCAAAACUUUAUAUCGUAGGUGCUGCUACCACGUUCCACUUGGAGCUAUUCCAAAUUAUUGCUCCAUUAUACGUAUCCAGUAUCUCUACUCAGAGCUAUCCGGAUAGGUGUUAAGCUUGCAUCGACGUAACUCUUUAUGUCGAACUCUUUAUCACCUCCAUAACCGAGAAACAUUUCCUUAAUCCUCUAAGGAUAAUUUUGACUGCUAUCUGGUGAUCCACUCCUAGAUCACCUUUGUACCCUCUUGCCACACAUGUGGCAAGGCACACAUCAGGGGCGGUACUUCAGCAUGGCAUACCAUAUAGAGCCUAUGACAAAAGCAUAGGGGACGACCUUCAUCCUUCCUCUUUCUUCUGUCGUGGUCAAUCUUCGAGUCUUACUCAACUUCACACCUUACAACCCAGGUAAGAACCCCUUCUUUGACUGAUCUAUUUUGAACUCUUUCAAAAACAUGUCAAGGUGUGUGUCCUUGAAAGUAUCAUCAGGCGUCUUGAUCUAUUUCUAUAGAUCCUGAUGCCCAAUAUGUAAGCAGCUUUGUCCAGGUCUUCCUUUGAAAAACACUCUUCAAACAACCGUUUAUGCUUUCCAGAAAUUCUACAUUAUUUCGGAUCUACAAUAUGUCAUCCACAUAUACUUAUUAGAAAUGUUGUAGUGCUCCCACUCACUUUCUUAUAAAUACAAGUUUCUAGCAAACAUUGUAUAAACCUAAAAACUUUGAUCACUCUAUCAAAGCAUGUAUUCUGACUCCGAGAUGCUUUCUCUAGUCCAUAGAAGGAUUGCUGGAGCCAGCAUACCUUUUAGCAUCCUUAGGAUCGACAAAACCUUUUAUUGUAUCACAUACAACUUUUCUUACGAAAACUGGUAAGAAAACUUGUUUUGGCAUCCAUCUGUAAGAUUGCAUAAUCGAAAAAUAUAGCUAAUGCUUACAUGAUUCCGACGGACUUAAGCAUCGCUACGGGUGAGAAAUUCUCAUCGUAGUCAACUCCUUGAACUUGUGAAAAGACUCUUUCCCACAAGUCGAGCUUCAUAGACGGUAACAAUACCGCCCACGUCCGUCUUCUUCUUAAAGAUCCAUUUAUCUCAAUGGCUUGCCGAUCAACGGGCAAGUCCACCAAAGUCCAUACUUUGUUCUGAUAUAUGGAUCCUAUCUCGGAUUUCAUGGCUUCUAACCAUUUGUCGGAAUAUGGGCCCACCAUCGCUUCUCCAUAGCUCGUAGGUUCAUUGUUGUCUAACAACAUGAUAUCUAAGACAGGAUUACCGUACCACUCAGGAGUAGUACAUAUCCUUGUCGACCUAUGAGGUUCGAUAGCAACUUGAUCCGAAGCUUCAUGAUCACUAUCAUUAACUUCCUCUUCAACAGAUGUAGGCUCCACAGAAAACAUCUUUCUGUGUUGCAUCACUCUCUGGUUGAAAUAAAGGUUCGACAACCUCAUCAAGUCCUAUCUUCCUCCCACUCAAUUCUUUCGAGAGAAACUCCUUCUCGAGAAAGGACCCGUUCUUAGCGACAAACAAUUUGCCCUCGGAUCUGAGAUAGAAGGUAUACCCAACUGUCACCUUUGGGUAUCCUAUGAAGAUGUGUUUGUCCGCUUUGGGUUCGAGCUUCUCCGGCUGAAGCCUUAAGCAUCGCAGCCCCAAACAUUAAGAAACGACAACUUUGGUUUCUUGCCAAACCAAUGUUCAUACGACGUCGUCUCAACGGACUUAUAUGGUGUCCUAUCUAAAGUGAAUGCAGUUGUCUCUAAUGCAUAACCUCAAAACAAUAGCGGUAGAUCGAUAAGAGACAUCAUAGAUCGCACCAUAUCUCAUAAGGUUCGAUUACGAUGUCCGAACACACCAUUACCCUGUGGUGUUCCAGGUGGCUUCAACUGUGAAACAAUUCCACAAUGUCUUAAGUGAUUGCCAAACUCAUAACUCAGAAAUUCUCAUUGAUCAGAUCAUAGGAAUUUGAUCUUCUUGUUAUGAUGAUUCUUAACUUCACUCUGAAAUUGCUUGAACUUUUCAAACGUAUCAAACUUGUGCUUCAUUGAGUAAAUAUACCUAUAUCUACUCAAAUCGUCAGUGAAGAUGAGAAAAUAGCGAUAUCCACCGCAUGCUUCAAUUCUCAUUGGAUCACACGCAUCAGCAUGUAUGAUUUCCAACAAGUCACUUGCCCGUUUCAUUGUACCUGAAAACGGGGUCUUAGUCAUCCUGCCCAUGAGGCAUGGCUCGCAUGUGUCAAGUGAUUCAAAAUCAAGUGACUCCAGACAUCCACCGACAUGGAGUUUCUUCAUGCAUCUUACGCCAAUAUGACCUAAGCGGCAGUGCCACGAGAAAGUGGUACUAUCAUUAUUAACUCUACAUCUUUUGGCGUGAACAUGUGUAUUACCACGACCGAGAUUCAAUGAACCAUUCACAUAGGGUGCAUGACCAUGAAAGGUAUCAUUCAUGUAAACAGAAUAACCAUUAUUCUCUAACUUAAAUGAAUGACCGUAUUGCAAUGAACAUGAUCUAAUCAUAUUCAUGCUCAACGUAGACACCUGAUAACAUUUAUCUAGGUUCAAUACUAAUCCCGAAGGCAGAUGGAGCGUGCAAUGGUGAUCUCAUCAACUUUGGAAACACUUCCAACACACAUCGUCACCUCGCCCUUAGCUAGUCUCCGUUUAGUCCGUAGCUUUUGUUUCAAGUCACCAAUAAUAGCAACUGAACCGGUAUCCAAUACCCAGGUGCUACCAGGAGUACUAUUGAGGUACACAUUAAUAACACGUAUAUACUUUGUUGAAGUUGCCAGCCUUCUUAUCUACCAUGCAUUUGGGGUAAUUCCGCUACCAGUGACCGUUCCCCUUACAAUAGAAGCACUCAGUCUCGGGUUUGGGUUCAACCUUGGGUUCCUUCACUGGAGCGGCAACUGGUUUGCCAUCCAUAUGAAGUUUCCCUUCUAGCCCUUGCCCUUCUUGAAACCAGUGGUCUUGUUAAACCAUCAACACUUGAUGCUCCUUCUUGAUUUCUACCUUUUUCGGUCUUAAGCACCGCGAACAGCUCCGGGAUCAACUCCAUCCCUUGCAUGUCAUAGUUCAUCACAAAGAUCUAGUAGCAUAGUGAUAGUGGCUAGAGAACUCUAUCAAUCACUAUCUUAUCUGGAAGUUUAACUUCCACUUGAUUUAAGUGAUUGUAGCACCUAGACAUUCUGAGCACAUGCUCACUAGCUGAGCUAUUCUCCUCCAUCUUGUUGGCAAAAGAACUUGUCAGAGGUCUCACACCUCUCAACACGGGCAUGAGCCUGAAAUCCCAAUUUCAGCUCUUGGAACAUCUCAUAUGUUCUAUGGCGUUCAAAACGUCAUUGGAAUCCCGAUUCUAAGCCGUAAAGUAUGGUGCACUAAAAUAUCAAGUAGUCACCAGGACGUGUCUGUCAGGUGUUCACAACAUCCACAGACGACGUUGUAGGGGUUUGCACAUCGAGCGAUGCAUCAAAGACAUAAGCCUUCUGUGUAGUAGUGAGGACACUCCUCGGACUACGGACCUAGUCCGCAUCAUUGCUUACAAUAUCUUUCAACUUAAUCUUUCUCUAGGAACGUAUUGAAACAGGGAGCUACAACGUGAGUUAUUUAUCUACAACAUAUUUGCAAAGACAAUUUAGACUAUGUUCAUGAUAAUUGAGUUCAUCUAAUCAAAUUAUUUAAUGAACUCCCACUCAGAUAGACAUCCCUCUAGUCAUCUAAGUGAAACAUGAUCCGAGUCAACUAGGCCGUGUCCGAUCAUCACGUGAGACGGACUAGUCAACAUCGGUGAACAUCUUCAUGUUGAUCGUAUCUUCUAUACUACUCAUGCUCGACCUUUCGGUCUUUCGUGUUCCGAGGCCAUGUCUGUACAUGCUAGGCUCGUCAAGUCAACCUAAGUGUAUUGCGUGUGUAAAUCUGGCUUACACCCGUUGUAUUCGAACGUUAGAAUCUAUCACACCCGAUCAUCACGUGGUGCUUCGAAACAACGAACCAUCGCAACGGUGCAUAGUUAGGGGGAACACUUUUCUUGAAAUUUUAGUGAGGGAUCAUCUUAUUUAAGCUACCGUUGUUCUAAGCAAAUAAGAUGUAAAACAUGAUAAACAUCACAUGCAAUCAAAUAGUGACAUGAUAUGGCCAAUAUCAUUUUGCUCCUUUUGAUCUCCAUCUUCGGGGCUCCAUGAUCAUCAUUGUCACCGGCAUGACACCAUGAUCUCCAUCAUCAUGUAUUCUUGAAGUUGUCUCGUCAUCUAUUACUUCUACUACUAUGGCUAACGCUAUAGCAAUAAAGUAAAGUAGUUAUAUGACGUUUAUAUUAACACGCAGGUCAUAAAUAAAUUAAGACAACUCCUAUGGCUCCUACAAGUUGUCAUACUCAUCGACAUGCAAGUCGUGAUUCCUAUUACAAGAACAUGAUCAAUCUCAUACAUCACAUAUAUCAUUCAUCACAUCCUUUUGGCCAUAUCACAUCACAAGGCAUAUGCUGCAAAAACAAGUUAGACGUCCUCUAAUUGUUGUUGCAAGUUUUUACGUGGCUGCUAUAGGUUUCUAGCAAGAACGUUUCUUACCUACGCGAAAACCACAACAUGAUAUGUCAAUUUCUAUUUACCCUUCAUAAGGACCCUUUUCAUCGAAUCCGAUCCGACUAAAGUGGGAGAGACAGACACCCGCUAGCCACCUUAUGCAACUAGUGCAUGUCAGUCGGUGGAACCAGUCUCACAUAAGAGUACGUGUAAGGUCGGUCCGGGCCGCUUCAUCCCACGAUGCCGCCGAAUCAAGAUAAGACUAGUAACGGCAAGUAAAUUGACAAAAUCGACGCCCACAACAACUUGUGUUCUACUCGUGCAUAGAAACUACGCAUAGACCUAGCUCAUGAUGCCACUGUUGGGGAUCGUAGCAGAAAUUCAAAAUUUUCUACGCAUCACCAAGAUCAAUCUAUGGAGUAAUCUAGCAAUGAGGGAAGGAGAGUGCAUCUACAUACCCUUGUAGAUCGCUAAGCGGAAGCGUUCAAGUGAACGGGGUUGAUGGAGUCGUACUCGUCGUGAUCCAAAUCACCGAUGAUCCUAGCGCCGAACGGACGGCACCUCCACGUUCAACACACGUACGGUUGGGAGACGUCUCCUUCUUCUUGAUCCAGCAAGGUGAGAGGAGAAGUUGAGGGAAAACUCCGACAGCACGACGGCGUGGUGGUGAUGGAGCUCGUGGUUCUCCGGCAGGGCUUCGCCAAGCACUACGGAGGAGGAUGAGGUGUUGGAGGAGGAAGAGGGCUGCGCCAGUGGAAGGGUGCAGCUGCCCUCUCUCUCCCUCACUAUAUAUAGGGGAAAGGGAGGAGGGGGCGCCCUAGGGUUCCCUAGGGGAGGGGCGGCGGCCACAGGGGAAACCCUAGAUGGGUUUGGGCGCCCCCACCCCCUAGGAAACUUGCCCCCCAAGCCGGGAGGGGCGGCUGCCCUAGGGGUGGCGCCCCCACCUCUCCUGGUUACGUGAGAUGGGGUGGGAGGGGCGCUCAUCCCCUUAGUGGGCUGAUGUGCCCUCUCCCCUUGGCCCAUAAGGCCCCCAACGCUUGCCGGGGCCUCCGAAACCCCUUUCGGACACGCUGGUCAUCACCUGGUGCCUCCGGAACAAUUCCGGACUCCAAUACCCUUCGUCCAAUAUACCGAUCUUCACCUCCGGACCAUUCCGGAGCUCCUCGUCAUGUCCGGGAUCUCAUCCGGGACUCCGAACAACCUUCGGUAACCACAUACUAUUUCCCAUAACAACUCUAGCGUCACCGAACCUUAAGUGUGUAGACCCUACGGGUUCGGGAACCAUGCAGACAUGACCGAGACAACUCUCCGGCCAAUAACCAAAAGCGGGAUCUGGAUAUCCAUGUUGGAUCCCACAUGUUCCACGAUGAUCUCAUCGGAUGAACCACGAUGUCGAGGAUUCAAUCAAUCCCAUAUACAAUUCCCUUUGUCCAGCGGUAUUGUACUUGCCCGACAUUCAAUCGUCGGUAUCCGAUACCUUGUUUAAUCUCGUUACCGGCAAGUCUCUUUACUUGUUCCGUAACACAUCAUACCAUGAUCAACUCCUUGUUCACAUUGUGCAUAUUAUGAUGAUGUCCUACCGAGUGGGCCCAGAGAUACCUCUCCAUUUACACGGAGUGACAAAUCCCAGUCUCGAUUCGUGCCAACCCAACAGACACUUUCGAAGAUACAUGUAGUGUACCUUUAUAGCCACCCAGUUACGUUGUGACGUUUGGCACACCCAAAGUACUCCUACGGUAUCCGGGAGUUGCACAAUCUCAUGGUCUAAGGAAAUGAUACUUGACAUUAGAAAAGCUUUAGCAAACGAACUACACGAUCUUGUGCUAGGCUUAGGAUUGGGUCUUGUCCAUCACAUCAUUCUCCUAAUGAUGUGAUCCCGUUAUCAAUGACAUCCAAUGUCCAUGGUUAGGAAACUGUAACCAUCUAUUGAUCAACAAGCUAGUCAACUAGAGGCUUACUAGGGACAUGGUGUUGUCUAUGUAUCCACACAUGUAUCUGAGUUUCCUAUCAAUACAAUUCUAGCAUGGAUAAUAAACGAUUAUCAUGAACAAGGAAAUAUAAUAAUAACCAAUUUAUUAUUGCCUCUAGGGCAUAUUUCCAACAGACACAAUCUCCGUCUAGCAUCACCAGAGCGUCCUACCUUGCUCGAAUAAGGGAGGAAGAUAUCUUGAAGGAUGAGGCGAUGGGCGCCAACGAGCGUGGCGAUGGCUACGACCAUGGAGUACACGGUCGCAUGUCUACUGAGGCCCUCAACAUUGUCUCCUCUGAGUUAACUACCCCAGUGAUGUGCAGUGCAGACUGCGGCGUCGAUGCCAACAGUUUUGCUGCACCGACGCCGAUCAUGGUGCUUGACACAAACCACAACAUCGACGUCAUCGACGGCAAGAACCCGGCUGCAUCAACGCCUACCACCCAUUUGACAGAUGGCUCGGGCCAAGUUGUCGGCAUGCCACUCUCAGCGUCCCCAACCACCACUACACCGAGGUCUUCGCUGCGUCCAGCAGCUGAACCGACGCUCAUUUGCAAUUCUGCGGCACCCACUACAACCCCGUUUGCAUCUGGGCUACAGAUGUCAACCACAGUGUCAGCCUCGACACCGCCAGCCAAUAUGUGACAAAGGCGCCCACCAUGGUCUCGCCAUUCCGGCUCCAGGCAGAGGCUUACGCACACCUAAGGUUCAGCUCCAUGCUUUCACUGCUGCUGUUCGGGGAUCACCAAGCCAGCGCCCCACCAAAACCACCAUGGUCGUCCCUUGUGCAAGAACAGAUCGGUGGGGAUGGAGAUGAGGUCACCACCUUCACCAAGGUCUUCCAAGUCAGGUGGUGCAAGCAUAGUUGGUGUGCAGUGUUACCGUGUUCAUUGUCAAUGAAGGUGGUCACAUCCCAACCAUGGUCGCCAUCUCCACGCGUGGAGCUCUAUGCCAGGGGAGUAGGCCAGCCGUCAUGGCUACCACCAGAAACAUACACUGUGUUGUUGCUGUCAAGGAAUGAUUCUAUUAUGCCAGUGAUUGAGCUGAAGCCAUGGCCGGAUCCGCGACAGAGUGAAGGUAGUGGAAGUGUGGUGAACAAACUGCAACAGUAUGGAUUUGGGAUGUCGAAUUGGGUCCAUGUGUUCGUUUGGAGGAAGGCUGGGGCAAGCAACCUUGGGAACAAUUACAUUAAGAAGCAAUUGAGGGUGGUUGUCCUGGACUUUCAAAGGGUAGCACUUGGGUGUUGCUCACAUGCCACAAGCUGGCAACUGGAGUUCCUGAAGCUCUAUGAAGUGACAAAGGUCAACGAGAACAGAACACCGAGACUAUGUGCAGAUAACAAGUUUCUCCGGGCAACAAAAUACAAAGGGUUUGAUUACUAGUGGAAAGUGAAAUGGCUCGCAUAUAAUUGGUGCGGCUCUAAGAGUUCAAGUGAUUACGUUGUAUGGCUGACCAUGGAGAGAUCCAGUUUCAUCUACCUGGUGUUAUUCUCACUAUCCUUCGUUGAGCUAAAACCUUGGGCACCACCUCAGUGCAACGGAAGUUUAGUUGGCUCAUUACUCCAAUUUUCUGCAGCUAUAUAGGGAUUCAUGCUCAAGGUACAAUGCUCUAUCUCCUCUGUAAAUAUCAUGGCGGAAUCAACACAUUGUUUUCCAGUCAAUGCUUCCGGAUAUUUCUCUAUCACCAUCUUAUGGUUACUGGAAGUAACAUUUUGGAAGAACAAGUUCGACAAGGAUGAUCUUGUUUGCUAUAAUCCUGAGCAUUUAUUGCUUAUAGACCCUGCAAGUGUUUGUGUGAGCAGGCUCAGUUUUUUGUGCACAAACUGUCAUUUCAGCAUUUGGUUGGACGAUAGUAGUAGAAGUGUUGGGCAGCUGAAUGUUAAUAGUAAUUUGAACAAGAUAGUGCAGUUGAACCGUGGUGUUCUUCAUACUCAUAUGCAGGGAGGCUACUUGAUACAUCAUGAUUGGGGACAAGGAUUGCAUAGUGGACAACAAGUCACCUAGGGAGGCAUCCGUACAUAUCAGCAUCCUUUUGUUGUUAUGACAUGGAGUUCUGCUAUAGCUAAGUGGAUCUUGCUGCAACUGUUUGAUGAGUUUUCAGAAACUUUUCCUUGUCACAAACUGUUCAACGGGCAGCUCAUUCUUCGUUCAGUGAAGGAAAUUUUGGCACAAGCUAUCAGUGCUAGGCGUGGGCAAAGGUUGUGGGAUCCUGGUGUUUCAGCAGUAAUAACUAACGACUGUCGGGUAGUAAAUCUCAAUCUUGCAAUAGGUGAAGCCAAUAGGAGUUUACGGAGCUCAACCACAAUAUAUUGCCUAUGCUCGACAUGUCAGAUGUCCAGUGGCUUUUAUGCUGACAACUUCUGGGAUCCGACUGACAUGUUCUUUAGGAAGCAAAUCAUGGUAUGCACCACGAGGAAUUCUUUUAUGUUGAACUCUUUGUCAACGGCACCACAAAAGGACCAUUGUCCAACAAUGCUUCUUAUUACCGGAAUACAACAUCGAUUGACCCCAGGUUAUGUGCGCUGGACAUGGGACCCUGGCGGCUUUUACCAUUGCCCGGCUUGGGGGCAAGCCGGAUUUCAAGAGGGCGAGAGUGUCAUGCCCGACCUAUGCGCUGGUAAGCACAGCUGGGUGGUGGGCCAUCUCUUGGAGGUUGGUCCCACAUGGAAGUCACAUGGAGGCAAGGCUACAUAUACAGCAGGGGGAGCACAGGAGGAGGCAGCGAAGGAAUGAAUAAAUGUUCUGAAUCUCAUCUCGUGUCCUUCUGGUCCUCAUCCCCUUCUGUGAUUCCUCACCCCCAAUUCUCCCAAAUUAUCCCAAAUCGAUCCAAAUACUGAGCUAAUUUGUGCAUCCUCGAUCCAUCCAAUGAUCGGGUCGUGACAGUGUGUGACGUACUGACGUGUGCUUUUGCUUGGAAGAUGAUAUUUGCUAGCGAACACAAAAAAGGCUACACGGUUUUUUAUGUGCUCGCUUGCUUGUUCCCUGUUUUGUUGCAAUGAAGUGCGGAUGUGGCUGAUUCUGCACAUGGCCAGUGCCAGCUGGCUUUGGGCUCUUUUUUUCCCCGGAUAGUAGGUUUCUGGGUGAAGGAGUAGGUUUUGCAAAAUUUGGACCAAACCAUCACAGGCUGAAUAAGUUUGUGUGCCCCUGAUGCAUUUAUCUCUAAGCUAAUCAUUGAAUGUUACUAAAGAAAGGUAAUCAUUGCAUGAUCGAUCAAUUAUAUUUAUGAUAACUUUUGAGUGCUUACACUUCAUGGAGAUUAAUAAAGCAAAGAAGAACAUGAGUUAUGCGUAGAAAAUUGAUAUGAUGAAAGCCUAUGACCGUUUGGAUUGCUAUCAUGGGGAAACCAAUGUUCUGCUUGGAUUUCAUUGCUGGUGUAUGUCUUUUGGGUCUAUAUAGGACAUAUUUAGAUGUGUCUUAGUUAUUGCACAUCUGAAUGACUCAAUGAAACAUAAAAAGGAAAAAAAAGGUGUGUCUAGAGCACAUCUAGAUGUGCUCUAGUUAUUGCACAUCUAAGUAAGUGAAUCAAGUAUAAAGAGAAAAGGAAAAAAAGAAAAAGAAAACAUCCACGCGAAUCUCAACGUAAUAUCAAUGUCAUAAGAUUUAGAUGUGUAAUACUUAUGAAACAUCUAGAUGUGCUUUAGCGAAACUGGGAAAAAAAAUACCGACAUGAAUCUUCCCCUAAAAUCAAUGGCAUAGAACUUAAUUCGCAAAAAAAUGACAUAGAACUUAGAUGUGCAAUACUUAUGGCACAUUUAGGUGUGUUUUAGUUAAAGGAUGUAUUUUCUACUCUCUCCGUCCCAAAAUAGGUGUCUCAACCGGUAUAAAGUUGAGACACUUAUUUUGAAACGGAAGGAGUAGUUUUGAGUGGUGAUCAACUUGAGAAUUUUAAACCGAAUAAAGAAAUCCGUCAGGAUCCAAUGUAUUUGUAUCAUUUGCUACUAAGAGACUAUCAUGUUUGUUGGAAGACUCUCUAAUUGUACAAACAAAAACACAAGCAUUCAAGACAUUGAGUUGAUAACUAAACCAUAACUGUACGUACGAGUAGCUGGUCAAUUAUUUAUUUAUCCAAGUACAAGCCUCACUUUAUUCUCGCUUGCAAGUUUGCAACAACACAUCAAAAUCAAAUCGACCUGCUUGUCUUGUGGAAGUAUAGCUCCGAUCAGGCGUAGUACUUGAUGUAGCUACUGUAAUCGCUCUGCUUGUCGAAGUAUCGGUCCCAAAGCAUGACCCCCGCCGUAGUUGUCCUUCUUCUCUGUUGAGUAUCGUGAUUAUUAGCAAAGCUAGGAUAGCGUAAGAUAUUAUUUUAUCUUGCCUUAUAUUUCAAGAUGAUCAUGUAUUCCUAUAUAUAUGCCCAUGAGGCUCAAGCAAUACAACGACAAUUCCACCAAAACCCUUUCUCCCUUCCAACUUGGUAUCUAUCGCAAGUCAAUCAUAAACCCUAGCCGCCGCCGCUUCCGCACCCGCGCGCCGCCCCCGGGGCGGUCGGCCUCCAUGACCGCCGCCGGGGGCCGCGCCGCCCGUACCUAGGGUUCGUCCGCCGGCCGUGUUGGCCGUCUGCCCUAGAGAGUCUUUUUCCCCGAUCCUUUGAUCCGGAUUUUCUCUCUCUCGUCGGUCACUUUGAUCGGCGUCUCUUUUUUGGUUUUCCGGUCUAUGUGAUCCGGUUUGCGUCGCUCAUCGCCGCCGUCGAUCCCGUGCGCCUCUACUCCAAUACCGACGCGAUCGGCCGGCUUCUUCACCGAUCCGACGGCCUCGCGCGUCGUCCGCGCGUCUGCCCGUCGGUCGCCCCGACCCGGCGGCCUUGCGCGGCGUCCUUGCGUCGGCCUGCCGGUUGCCCCGACCCGGCGGCCUCGCGUCAUGCGGCGGCUCUACACCGCCGCCCUUCGUGCGACGGCCCGCCCGUCGAUCUACGUCGGCCGUCACCGCCCUGCUCCGACCGGGACACCUGCAUCACCCCGACCCGGCGACCUCGCGCCAUGUGGCGGCCAAUCAUAGCCGCCCUGCCGCCCGCCGCCGCCGGCUUCAUCUUGGACUCCGUCGCCACCGCACCUCCACCGAGCGACGUCCCCGACCUCGCGCGCGAUCGGAUUGAUCACCCGCCCGCCGCCGCGAUCCGCAUCAUCUACGUCGUGCGACCGACCUGGCCCGUCGGUUGCGCGCGCCUCCGCAGGCCCCAUGAAGACCGUCCUGAGUUCAGCGCGCCCCUGUACCGAUCGAGCAAUGGGCUGCCGCUGCGUCGCCCCGUCGGGCCGCAACGCCGCUGCCCCGUGGUUCUUCUCCCAACUGCACCGACCCACAUCACCGCUGCGUCGCCCCUUCAAGCCGUAGUACCGCGGCCCGCGGUCCACCGCCGCCCAGAGGCCGUCCGCUCCAGGUCGUUCCCGUGGCGGCACCGACCCUCACGCCGCCACUGCGUCGCCCUGUCGGGCCGUAGCGAGCGUGGCACGCGGUCCAUGCCGCCGUCUAGAGGCCGUCCCCGCGGUUGCACCGACCCGCGCUCCUCCGCCGCGCCGCCCCUUCGGGCUGUCGCGUCGCGGCCCGCGGUCCCUGCCGCCGCCCCGAGGUCUUCCCGCCGUCACCCCGACCUGCCCGCCGCCGCUGCGUCGCCCCUUCGGGCCGUAGCGCAGCGGCCCACGGUUCACUUCGUCGUCCACGCGUGUUGACUUCCUGUGGUAUGCGUCGCGCCACCUCCCUUGGCGCGGGAACACCACCGUCCGCGGCGGUCUUCGUCAUGCUGUCGGGUUCUUCGCCUACUUCGAGCACCGCCGCCGCCGCCGCUCUUCUUUGGCCGCCGCCGCUACCCACGUAGCCGCCGCCGCCGCCCGUCCACCUCCUUCGUCUUCGUCCAACACCGGCCCGUCGCCAGCGUCGCCAUCAUCUACCCCGACCACUUCGUCUACUCCGACAACUGCAGGCGACGUCGGCUCUGCGCUGAUUGACACCGCAACCGUCGUCGAGUCCUUCUUUGAUGGCCUCUCCGACUCCUCCGACAUGGCGUACAACUUGUGCAGGUCCUCGUCUAUGCAUGCCCGGUGCUGGAAACACCGAUACAUGCCUUCGUCCACGAUGUUUCCCCGGGCCUGGCAAGCCUGGUGUGGCGCUUCGUCAACUUCGUCUUCGUCUGUCUACGCAUGCCCGAUGCUAGCAACACCGGUGCGUGCCUUCGUCUACGAUGUGUCCCCGGGCUUGGCAAACCCGCCGCGACGCGUCGUCAACAAUGUCUUCUUCCCGGCGCACCACUACUUCGACACCACUGCGACCAUGCUAACUCGGUGCGCUCUUGCGCCCGCGGCUCCAUGGCGACAUCCUCGACACCGGCUCCCCGACUCGACAUCGACCAUGACAUUCUACGCGCGGCUACCUCGACCACGGCUACACCACCCUCGGCUCUCGGCUACAUCGACAAACGACACAAAGGGCUACCGCCUGCUUACGCAACCUUGUUGGUUUCCACUCCAGCCACGACUCCGCGAUGCGUCGACCGUUACGACUGUGGGGGGGUGUCCAUCGGCUUGCCUUCGGAUUCUUCUCCAGUCUCACCGUCUGCGUCGCUACCGUUGUGACUGCGGGGGGAUGUUGAGUAUCAUGAUUAUUAGGAAAGCUAGGAUAGCGUAGGAUAUUAUUCUACCUUGCCUUGUACUCCAAGAUGAUCAUGUACUCCUAUAUAUAUGCCCAUGAGGCUCAAGCAAUACAACGACAAUUCCACCAAAACCCUUUCUCCCUUCCAACUUGGUAUCUAUCGCAAGUCGAUCCUAAACCCUAGCCGCCGCCGUUUCCGCACCCGCGCGCCGCCCCCGGGGCGGUCGGCCUCCAUUGGCGGUCGAGGUGGAGAGGUCGUGGCCGGAGAGGUCGAGGUGGAGAGGUCGUGGCCGGAGAGGUCGAGGUGGUACUCUCCGUUGGCGCCGAAGACUUUGAGGAAAGACAUGGUGACCAUGGUGUACAUGCCGGAGUCGCACGCCUCGCGCAGGGACCCCUCGGCCUUGUUCCAUCCCCAGAACACUGUCACCUGGCCGGUCUUCCCC